Long non-coding RNA from Brienomyrus brachyistius, 2320 nucleotides. RefSeq lists it as uncharacterized. The record is from RefSeq and is a predicted model, not a curated record. Lineage: Eukaryota; Metazoa; Chordata; Actinopteri; Osteoglossiformes; Mormyridae. The transcript is spliced from 4 exons.
CAUGCGCUGGCGGCAGAGGCGAGGACAAGGAGAAGGAGAGAGCGGGGAAGAGAGAGAAAGGGAGUGCGAGAAAGAGAAGGAGAAAGAAGAAGGGAAGACAACGGGAGAGGAUUUAGCGUAGGAUGCAUGAGGCUUCAAGUUCUAGAAGCCACGUUGUCGCAUUUCGAUGUGUGCGGCGGACAGAAUGAUCUACAAAGAAAUGAGGGGAAAGAUGCGAAGAUCAUUCUGUGGAUGCGUAUCGUCUCGCGGCCUUAUCACUCCUGCUGCUGUGACCCUCGGCUCGCUGGAAAAACUGACGCGUAGGUGGAUUUCCUUGGGUCCAUCCAAGAGGACCUCCUUCCUCCCUCACCGUCCAAGCGCAAGUACUUGAAGUUGCGGUAGGCGAAGUAGUCUUCCAUGAUGGUCAUGAGCGAGGUCAUCUGGCAGAAGAGCAGCACCUUGUGUCCGGUGGCUCGCAGCUUGGGCAGGAUGCGGUCCAGAACCUCGAACUUGCCCGAGGCGCGGUACAGGUCCGCCCUGCAGCAGGAGGAAGGAAGGGGGUGAAGCACCGAUUAACCAGGAGAUACCUGCGGUCCCAGGCCAAAUCUAGGACAAUAUCUCAGAAGGCUCUUACCCCUGGACUAUCCCACCGGUGAAUCCUAGGUGCUCGGAGAAAGAUUCCUGAAAGAAUAAGCAACGAUGAUGGUUGAACCUCUAGGGAAUGGCAAUAGUCUGACUGAUCCCUGUGAAAACUGAUUCAAUUCAGUUAAAUUCAAUUCAAUUCAAUUCAAUUCACCACUCAGUCACCCCCAGGUGCUUCACAUGAGCUCGUUUUGAUGCAACAUCAUUACGACAGAAUACUAUAAAAAUUGGACAUAGAAAUAACAAAGAUAUGACAAACAGCUGGAUGACAACAGAGAACAGGAACCAAAAACUCCCAAGUAGGGAGAAAAAAGAUCUCUUGGGGUCCAAGGAGGGUUUGUCAGUGCCUUGGUCCAAGUUAUCUAUCUAGUAGACUUGUUGAGGCUGAAACCAGGAUUAGAAGAUUAUCUCUGCACCAAGGCUGGGCAAACACUUUACCUCGAUCUGCUGGAACAUGUAUGGGUGGUUGCAGAUCUUCCUCAGCUGCAUGAUGGUGUUCAUCAGGGUCUUCGUCCCACCUUUGCCCUUGAUUGACACAAACGCGAAUAAGUGGGGCAACCUCACACUGUGGGUGGCGGAAAGGUGCAGCAGCGGAGUCUUACCCUACCUCACGCGCCCUCACCUUCUUGUCCUUUUCGGAGCCGUCAGUGAGCAGAACCCCUUUGGCCUGCAUAUGCCGGUAGAGCACCCUCUGCAGGGCUGACAUGUCGCACUUAAUCACAUACUCAACCUGCGACAGAUGGGAGAUAUUAUCAGCCACACAAAGCUGCAGAGAACUGUGAUUUCACAAGAGGCUGCAGCUUCGGUCAUUGGGAAGGUACAUGCAAGUACAUCAGUCUGAACAAGAAAGCUGGGGAGGGGGACCUCCAGGCCGACGUGCCAUUCCAGCUACUCCGAGCGUGAGAGGCUGGGGGGGGCGGGUAUGGCCUCACUUUCUCAGGCAGCUGUGCCUCCACCUCCUUCUUCAGCCGGCGGAGCAGGAACGGCCGGAGCACCUUGUGAAGGCGGCGAAUGAUCAGGAUGGUCUCCUCCUCGUUCAAAUCCACCUGUGCCGGGUGUGGGUGGGGCGGCGGGGGGACACCAAAGUGAGUCAGGAGCUCAUCACAUGUCUUUGAGGGACAGAAUUAUCAGAGCUGGGAAUAGAGCUGCUCUGGUAGGACACCAAUCCAAGCAUCUUGUUGGACGUAAGGGAACGGAGAUCAAGUCCAUUUAGCCGAGAUGUGCUUAAAUCCAACAAGUAAUUCUGGGAAACGAGAUAUGCUCUGUGGAACACCCCCCCCCCCCCCGCUUUGUUUCCUAGGCAACCUGAAUGAACAGUAUUACCUCUACUAAAUGGGGACGUGACAUUUCGAUGGAGACGGCUACCUUCUCUCCAGUCAUGGCGAAGGGCGCGUUGAACCACUGCUCGAAGGUGCUGCAGCUCUUGAAGAUGGUGGGCAGCAGGAAGUUCAGCAGGGCCCAGAGCUCGGGAAGCUUGUUCUGCAGCGGCGUGCCGGUGAGCAACACGCGCCGCGGCGCCAGGCUGACAUGCAUGCAGAACGAUCCCUCCAAGAUGUCCGGGAGAUGUCCAGCAUCACUGUUCACACCGGCAUGUCUAAGUUACGCACUGGAAGUAAAACACCGAUGGGCUUAAACUUUCACCGCCGUGAAGCGUGAGCAGAGGACAAAGAGGGACUGCGUCGAGAAACGGCUCGUACUC